GUAGGUGGCAAGCGUUGUCCGGAAUUAUUGGGCGUAAAGCGCGCGCAGGCGGUCCUUUAGGUCUGAUGUGAAAGCCCACGGCUCAACCGUGGAGGGUCAUUGGAAACUGGGGGACUUGAGUACAGAAGAGAAAGCGGAAUUCCAAGUGUAGCGGUGAAAUGCGUAGAGAUUUGGAGGAACACCAGUGGCGAAGGCGGCUCUCUGGUCUGUAACUGACGCUGAGGCGCGAAAGCGUGGGGAGCAAACAGGGAUUAGAUACCUGGUAGUCCACGCCUUAAACGAUGAGUGCUAAGUGUUAGGGGGUUUCCGCCCCCUUAGUGCUGCAGCUAACGCAUUAAGCACUCCGCCUGGGGAUACGGCCGCAAGGCUG
This 370-nucleotide ribosomal RNA is filed under the name uncultured organism. RNAcentral describes it as "partial 16S ribosomal RNA". It matches the Rfam family "Bacterial small subunit ribosomal RNA", at positions 527 to 896 of the family's 1533-position model. The record is from RNAcentral.